AUUGAACGCUGGCGGCAUGCCUUACACAUGCAAGUCGAACGGUAACAGGUCUUCGGAUGCUGACGAGUGGCGAACGGGUGAGUAAUACAUCGGAACGUGCCCGAGAGUGGGGGAUAACGAAGCGAAAGCUUUGCUAAUACCGCAUACGAUCUCAGGAUGAAAGCAGGGGACCGCAAGGCCUUGCGCUCACGGAGCGGCCGAUGGCAGAUUAGGUAGUUGGUGGGAUAAAAGCUUACCAAGCCGACGAUCUGUAGCUGGUCUGAGAGGAUGAUCAGCCACACUGGGACUGAGACACGGCCCAGACUCCUACGGGAGGCAGCAGUGGGGAAUUUUGGACAAUGGGCGCAAGCCUGAUCCAGCCAUUCCGCGUGCAGGAUGAAGGCCUUCGGGUUGUAAACUGCUUUUGUACAGAACGAAAAGGCUCUGGUUAAUACCCGGGGCUCAUGACGGUACUGUAAGAAUAAGCACCGGCUAACUACGUGCCAGCCGCCGCCGUAA
RNAcentral lists this ribosomal RNA (498 nucleotides) under uncultured bacterium. RNAcentral describes it as "partial 16S ribosomal RNA". It matches the Rfam family "Bacterial small subunit ribosomal RNA", at positions 30 to 523 of the family's 1533-position model. The record is from RNAcentral.